Molecule: ribosomal RNA, 351 nt
Filed under: uncultured bacterium
Lineage: Bacteria
Description: partial 16S ribosomal RNA
Rfam family: Bacterial small subunit ribosomal RNA
Source: RNAcentral
CCUACGGGAGGCAGCAGUGAGGAAUAUUGCUCAAUGGGAGGAAUCCUGAACCAGCCAUGCCGCGUGCGGGACGACGGCUCUACGAGUUGUAAACUGCUUUUGUACCGGGGUAAAAUGCUCUACGUGUAGGGUUUUGCAAGUACGGUACGAAUAAGGCUCGGCUAACUCCGUGCCAGCAGCCGCGGUAAUACGGAGGAUCCGAGCGUUAUCCGGAUUUAGUGGGUUUAACGGGUGCGUAGGGUGUUUUCAAAGUUAGCGGUGAAAUCCCGAGGCUAAACAUCGGGGCGGCCGCUGAGACUGUAGGACUAGGGAUCGGAGGCAGCAGGCGGAAUGUGGAGUGUAGCGGUGAAA